Molecule: transfer RNA, 73 nt
Filed under: Ixodes scapularis (black-legged tick)
Lineage: Eukaryota; Metazoa; Arthropoda; Arachnida; Ixodida; Ixodidae
Rfam family: tRNA
About the family: Transfer RNA (tRNA) molecules are approximately 80 nucleotides in length. Their secondary structure includes four short double-helical elements and three loops (D, anti-codon, and T loops).
Source: Rfam by way of RNAcentral
CUCUGUUUAGCUUAGUUGGUAGAGCGUUCCACUGGAAAUGGAAAGGGCGCACGUUCGAUACUUGGAUCAGGUA